RNAcentral lists this ribosomal RNA (468 nucleotides) under uncultured bacterium. RNAcentral's name for it is "partial 16S ribosomal RNA". It matches the Rfam family "Bacterial small subunit ribosomal RNA", at positions 28 to 507 of the family's 1533-position model. The record is from RNAcentral.
GACGAACGCUGGCGGCGUGCUUAACACAUGCAAGUCGAACGGAAAGGCCCUGCUUUUGUGGGGUGCUCGAGUGGCGAACGGGUGAGUAACACGUGAGUAACCUGCCCUUGACUUUGGGAUAACUUCAGGAAACUGGGGCUAAUACCGGAUAGGAGCUCCUGCUGCAUGGUGGGGGUUGGAAAGUUUCGGCGGUUGGGGAUGGACUCGCGGCUUAUCAGCUUGUUGGUGGGGUAGUGGCUUACCAAGGCUUUGACGGGUAGCCGGCCUGAGAGGGUGACCGGCCACAUUGGGACUGAGAUACGGCCCAGACUCCUACGGGAGGCAGCAGUGGGGAAUAUUGCACAAUGGGCGGAAGCCUGAUGCAGCAACGCCGCGUGCGGGAUGACGGCCUUCGGGUUGUAACCCGCUUCCGCCUGUGACGAAGCGUGAGUGACGGUAAUGGGUAAAGAAGCACCGGCUAACUACGUG